This 429-nucleotide ribosomal RNA is filed under the name Gemmatimonadota bacterium. RNAcentral's name for it is "Gemmatimonadetes bacterium partial 16S ribosomal RNA". It matches the Rfam family "Bacterial small subunit ribosomal RNA", at positions 355 to 776 of the family's 1533-position model. Lineage: Bacteria; Pseudomonadati; Gemmatimonadota. The record is from RNAcentral.
UAGGGAAUCUUCGGCAAUGGACGAAAGUCUGACCGAGCAACGCCGCGUGAGUGAAGAAGGUUUUCGGAUCGUAAAACUCUGUUGUUAGAGAAGAACAAGGACGGUAGUAACUGAACGUCCCCUGACGGUAUCUAACCAGAAAGCCACGGCUAACUACGUGCCAGCAGCCGCGGUAAUACGGAGGUGGCAAGCGUUGUUCGGAAUUAUUGGGCGUAAAGAGAGCGCAGGCGGUUUCUUAAGUCGGAUGUGAAAGCCCCCGGCUCAACCGGGGAGGGUCAUUGGAAACUGAGAGACUUGAGUGCAGAAGAGGAGAGUGGAAUUCCAUGUGUAGCGGUGAAAUGCGUAGAUAUAGGGAGGAACACCGGUGGCGAAGGCGGCUCUCUGGUCUGUAACUGACGCUGAGGCGCGAAAGCGUGGGGAGCAAACAGG